GUGGAGCUUAACUCCNUUUGAGCNAUGGAAACUGCNAGACUAGAGUGUGGUAGGGGCAGAGGGAAUUCCCNGUGUANCCGUGAAAUGGGNNGANNUNGGGAAGAACNCCAGUGGCCAAGGCGCUCUGCUGGGCCAUAACUGACGCUCAUGGACGAAAGCCAGGGGAGCGAAAGGGAUUAGAUACCCCUGUAGUCCUGGCCGUAAACGAUGAACACUAGGUGUCGGGGGAAUCGACCCCCCUCGGUGUCGUAGCCAACGCGUUAAGUGUUCCCGCCUGGGGAGUACGCACGCAAGUGUGAAANUCAAAGGAAUUGACGGGGGCCCCGCACAAGCGGUGGAGUAUGUGGUUUAAUUCGAUGCAACGCGAAGAACCUUACCAGGGUUUGACAUCCUGCGAAUCCCUUGGAAACGAGGGAGUGCCUUCGGGAGCGCAGAGACAGGUGGUGCAUGGCUGUCGUCGCUCNUGUCGUGAGAUGUUGGGUUAAGUCCCCGCAACGAGCGCAACCCACGUCGUUAGUUGCCAGCAUUCAGUUGGGCACUCUAGCNAGACCGCCGGUGAUAANCNGAGGAAGGUGUGGAUGACNUCAAGUCAUCAUGCCCCUUACAUNCUGGGCUACNCACGUACUACAAUGCUACGGACAAAGGCAGCAAACUCCCNAAAGCUANCAAUNCCAUAAACCGUGGCUCAGUUCAAAUCUA
This 699-nucleotide ribosomal RNA is filed under the name uncultured Pseudomonadota bacterium. RNAcentral describes it as "uncultured proteobacterium partial 16S ribosomal RNA". It matches the Rfam family "Bacterial small subunit ribosomal RNA", at positions 602 to 1301 of the family's 1533-position model. The record is from RNAcentral. Lineage: Bacteria; Pseudomonadati; Pseudomonadota.